Molecule: ribosomal RNA, 497 nt
Filed under: uncultured bacterium
Lineage: Bacteria
Description: partial 16S ribosomal RNA
Rfam family: Bacterial small subunit ribosomal RNA
Source: RNAcentral
GAUGAACGCUGGCGGCGUGCCUAAUACAUGCAAGUCGAGCGAACAGACGAGGAGCUUGCUCCUCUGACGUUAGCGGCGGACGGGUGAGUAACACGUGGAUAACCUACCUAUAAGACUGGGAUAACUUCGGGAAACCGGGGCUAAUACCGGAUAAUAUAUUGAACCGCAUGGUUCAAUAGUGAAAGACGGUUUUGCUGUCACUUAUAGAUGGAUCCGCGCCGCAUUAGCUAGUUGGUAAGGUAACGGCUUACCAAGGCGACGAUGCGUAGCCGACCUGAGAGGGUGAUCGGCCACACUGGAACUGAGACACGGUCCAGACUCCUACGGGAGGCAGCAGUAGGGAAUCUUCCGCAAUGGGCGAAAGCUUGACGGAGCAACGCCGCGUGAGUGAUGAAGGUCUUCGGAUCGUAAAACUCUGUUAUUAGGGAAGAACAAAUGUGUAAGUAACUAUGCACGUCUUGACGGUACCUAAUCAGAAAGCCACGGCUAACUACGUG